GAUGAACGCUGGCGGCGUGCUUAACACAUGCAAGUCGAACGAAGCACUUUAUUUGAUUUCCUUCGGGCCUGAUUAUUUUGUGACUGAGUGGCGGACGGGUGAGUAACGCGUGGGUAACCUGCCUUUUACAGGGGGAUAACAGUUGGAAACGGCUGCUAAUACCGCAUAAGCGCACAGCAUCGCAUGAUGCAGUGUGAACAACUCCGGUGGUAUAGGAUGGACCUGCGUUGGUUUAGCUAGUGGGUGCGGUAACGGCCCACCAAGGCGACGAUCCAUAGCCGGGAGGGGAGGGGGGCCGGCGACAUUGGAGGUAAGACACAGCCGAAAAUCGUACGGAAGGGGGGAGAGGGGAAUAGUGCAAAAGGGGGGAAGGGAUGAAGGAGCGACGCGGGGUGAGCGAGGCUAUAAGGCGGUAAGUAAAGCUGUAUGAGCAGGGAAGAUAGUGACGGUACCUGAUAAAGAAGCACCGGCUAAAUACGUG
RNAcentral lists this ribosomal RNA (481 nucleotides) under uncultured bacterium. RNAcentral describes it as "partial 16S ribosomal RNA". It matches the Rfam family "Bacterial small subunit ribosomal RNA", at positions 28 to 507 of the family's 1533-position model. The record is from RNAcentral.